Molecule: non-coding RNA, 120 nt
Organism: Picea glauca (white spruce)
Lineage: Eukaryota; Viridiplantae; Streptophyta; Pinopsida; Pinales; Pinaceae
Source: Rfam
UGUAAUUCAAUGCCUAUAGCCUUAAUGCACCAAAUCCCAUUAGAACUUUGUAGUUAAGUGUGCUUGGGAUAGAUUAGUAUUGGGAUGGUUGACCUCUCAAGAAGUCCUAGUUUUUUACAU